CCUCGGGAGGCUGCAGUGAGGAAUAUUGGUCAAUGGGCGCGAGCCUGAACCAGCCAAGUAGCGUGAAGGAUGACUGCCCUACGGGUUGUAAACUUCUUUUAUAAAGGAAUAAAGUGAGGCACGUGUGCCUUUUUGUAUGUACUUUAUGAAUAAGGAAUGGCUAACUCCGUGCCAGCCGCCGCGGUAAUACGGAGGAAGCGGGCGUUUUCCGGAUUUAAUGGGUUUAAAGGGGGCGUCGGCGGGGCGGUAAGUCAGUGGUCAAAUUGAGGGGCUCAACCCCUUCCCGCCAUUGAAACUGGCGCUCUUGAGUGGAAGAGAAGUAUGCGGAAUGCGUGGUGUAGCGGUGAAAUGCAUAGAUAUCACGCAGAACCCCGAUUGCGAAGGCAGCAUGCCGGCUUCCUACUGACGCUGAAGCACGAAAGCGUGGGGAUCGAACAGGAUUAGAUACCCUUGUAGUC
This 458-nucleotide ribosomal RNA is filed under the name uncultured bacterium. Its description in RNAcentral is "partial 16S ribosomal RNA". It matches the Rfam family "Bacterial small subunit ribosomal RNA", at positions 339 to 795 of the family's 1533-position model. The record is from RNAcentral.